Molecule: ribosomal RNA, 465 nt
Filed under: uncultured bacterium
Lineage: Bacteria
Description: partial 16S ribosomal RNA
Rfam family: Bacterial small subunit ribosomal RNA
Source: RNAcentral
GACGAACGCUGGCGGCGUGCUUAACACAUGCAAGUCGAACGGAAAGGCCCUGCUUGCAGGGUACUCGAGUGGCGAACGGGUGAGUAACACGUGGGUGAUCUGCCCUGCACUUCGGGAUAAGCCUGGGAAACUGGGUCUAAUACCGGAUAGGAGCCAUUUUUAGUGUGAUGGUUGGAAAGUUUUUUCGGUGUAGGAUGAGCUCGCGGCCUAUCAGCUUGUUGGUGGGGUAAUGGCCUACCAAGGCGGCGACGGGUAGCCGGCCUGAGAGGGUGGACGGCCACACUGGGACUGAGGUGCGGCCCAGACUCCUACGGGAGGCAGCAGGGGGGAAUAUUGCACAAUGGGCGCCAGGCUGAUGCAGCGGCGCCGCGGGGGGGAUGACGGCCUUCGGGUUGUAAACUCCUUUCGCUAGGGACGAAGCUUUUUGUGACGGUACCUAGAUAAGAAGCACCGGCUAACUACGUG